This 451-nucleotide ribosomal RNA is filed under the name Pseudomonas chlororaphis subsp. chlororaphis. RNAcentral's name for it is "bacterial SSU rRNA". It matches the Rfam family "Bacterial small subunit ribosomal RNA", at positions 334 to 794 of the family's 1533-position model. The record is from RNAcentral. Lineage: Bacteria; Pseudomonadati; Pseudomonadota; Gammaproteobacteria; Pseudomonadales; Pseudomonadaceae.
GACUCCUACGGGCGGCUGCAGUGGGGAAUAUUGCGCAAUGGGGGAAACCCUGACGCAGCGACGCCGCGUGCGGGAUGAAGGCCUUCGGGUUGUAAACCGCUUUUGAUUGGGAGCAAGCCUUUUGGGUGAGUGUACCUUUCGAAUAAGCGCCGGCUAACUACGUGCCAGCAGCCGCGGUAAUACGUAGGGCGCAAGCGUUAUCCGGAAUUAUUGGGCGUAAAGAGCUUGUAGGCGGUUCGUCGCGUCUGGUGUGAAAGCCCAUCGCUUAACGGUGGGUCUGCGCCGGGUACGGGCGGGCUAGAGUGCAGUAGGGGAGACUGGAAUUCCCGGUGUAACGGUGGAAUGUGUAGAUAUCGGGAAGAACACCAAUGGCGAAGGCAGGUCUCUGGGCUGUUACUGACGCUGAGAAGCGAAAGCGUGGGGAGCGAACAGGAUUAGAUACCCGGGUAGU